This 407-nucleotide ribosomal RNA is filed under the name Clostridioides difficile. RNAcentral describes it as "bacterial SSU rRNA". It matches the Rfam family "Bacterial small subunit ribosomal RNA", at positions 1136 to 1533 of the family's 1533-position model. Lineage: Bacteria; Bacillati; Bacillota; Clostridia; Peptostreptococcales; Peptostreptococcaceae. The record is from RNAcentral.
CACUCUAGAGAGACUGCCAGGGAUAACCUGGAGGAAGGUGGGGAUGACGUCAAAUCAUCAUGCCCCUUAUGCUUAGGGCUACACACGUGCUACAAUGGGUAGUACAGAGGGUUGCCAAGCCGUAAGGUGGAGCUAAUCCCUUAAAGCUACUCUCAGUUCGGAUUGUAGGCUGAAACUCGCCUACAUGAAGCUGGAGUUACUAGUAAUCGCAGAUCAGAAUGCUGCGGUGAAUGCGUUCCCGGGUCUUGUACACACCGCCCGUCACACCACGGGAGUUGGAGACGCCCGAAGCCGAUUAUCUAACCUUUUGGAAGAAGUCGUCGACGGUGGAAUCAAUAACUGGGGUGAAGUCGUAACAAGGUAGCCGUAUCGGAAGGUGCGGCUGGAUCACCUCCUUUCUAAGGAGA